GGUCUCCUUUUUUUCCAUGUACGACAACACUUCUGUCAAAGCAAUUCUUUGGGUCGCUCCCUUCAACCCAUAUCGCUGCCACCUGAGAAGUCGUUGGGGCAUUGUACCUUCGUUGAUCCAAGUUGAUAUCCGUGUUUAGUGAGAUCCUAUACUCAUCUAGAUUUGGAACAGACCCAAGGCUCUUUAAAACUUGUGCAUAAGGGUUACGCUCAAGUAUUCGCAGAAUCUUUCGUAUGAGGUCUAUAUUAAGAUCUGGAGACCUCAUAGCCCUGUGAACCAAGUCUUGAUCUGUAUCAUAAAUAUAAAGCUGCAAAUGCCGAGGUCCAUUAUCAGCCGGCACCAGACCAUCAAGAGCGUGGUAUAAGCCACCACAUGCACGAAAUGUAUAUACUCCAGUUCCUGCCGCUGUGCUUACUCGGCGAUCAAGAGUGACUCCUAGAGUUGUGAAUGAGAAGUGCGAGUUGAAAUACCGUAUAUGCUCUCUAAAAUAUUUAGCAUCCUCAUCAUCUUGACUUGUAAACAACCGUUUCAGCUCUUCUGGAAUGUCUGGAGUAAUAAUAUCGACUUUUCCUUUUCUGCAACAAAAUGCUGGGCCCUCAAAUGGAAACCGCAAUGCCCCACAGUGGCGACAGUCGGGAACCUUUCUUAGGACAUGGUGCUUUGUAGGUAGGUUUCGGUAAAUGAAUUCAUCGGUAUUUGAUACUGGUGCGGCUCGUGGGCGUCCAAGUUGGUACGAUUCAUAAGCAAGACCUAGCAUUGAAGAACAAUUUGUAUUAAAUAUUGAAUGAAGACCUAUGAGGCUCAUGGUAAAUUCGGAAAUAGACAAUGGACAUAUCUUCGGCCAUAAAUAUUCUAGCUUCCUCAUCAGGCUCAUGGUAUAUAGCUUCUCCAUUUUGCAAUGGCGCCAAACAGUCUAGUAGGCAAUAUAUUGGUCAAACAUAAAUGCCACAAAAUUGUCGACGAAGAACCUGAUAUGUGAACGACAAAAUAUAUAAUGUACCUUCAAAAUUGGGUUGUUGAACAAUGGGCUCAAAUAUUCCAUAUGGGUCUUCUAUAUGGUCGUUGCCCACUACGGAAAACCACAAGAUAAGUAGAGCAUACAAAAUCAGGUACUAUAGUAGUCUAGGGUCAUCAAACUUACUUUGUAGAUCUUGAGUGCUUUGAGUAUCAUCCGGAGACGGUUCCGCAGGGCGUCUCUUAUCAUUAGUUGGCGUCUUCAUUGGUUGACUGGAGCCAUUAAAAGGAUGUAUACCUGAAUAAACGAAAGAGAACCAGGAAUUGCGAUCAAAUUAACACUAUGGACACACUUCCACCAUAACUAAAUGGACGAACUAAACCGCACCUUGAAUUGAGAAAUCUGGGUUACGUAUUCUGCUAAUUUGGGGUGCCUGAACCCCUGAAAGUUGUGUGAGAGGCCCUGCAUUGUGUUCAAUUGACAGUAACUGUCAUUCAGAAGCUGAUUAUAGUUUAUUAUUGUUUAGAAGAGUACAAACCAAAGGCAUUAAAGCAUACCUUGUGCAAUAUCUCUUACGACGGUGGAGAUUGAUUGCAUGUUAUGACCAAGAGGCAUAGCAACAGCUCUAAUGCGUCCACCAAUUUGUUGUAUCUGAUAUGCAUCAUUCCUGUGCAACCAAUCGGACUCCUCAUCGUAUGUUAAAGUAUUCUCCUUGUCGUAGGGGGCAUGUUCAGGUGAUAGAUCUGAAUUUGGUAUAUUUGAUAAUACUGCAAGAAAAUUGUAGAUAACAUCAGUAAAACCUUUUUUGUUAUAUUCGAUAAGAUAACACCAUGCAAUCAAUAUGUUAUGGUAGCACAGAACCUGCAGACGAUAUUUGUUGUAGCUGGGUGACACCGGAUUGUCCUGUAGCUGGUGUGUGUAACACGGUGCUAUCGUUGGUGAGUAGGGUCGUAGUAGCCUUUCUCUGCUCACGUGAUAGGCGUUGUCGUUUUAAUAUCUCAUCCCUAUUUUGUGCAUACCGCUCCCUGUUCCUUUGCCUCCGUAUGUCUUUAGGGUCUACAUAGAUGAGAAAGCUAGUUAGUAUCAACAAAUAGGGUUGUAUGUAGUUGGUUGAUCGUCAUUACCAAUGGGUAUGGACAUCGGUGUUUGUGUUUCAUUUUCAUGGACACUGAUAUCAGCGGAAGCGUCAGCCAUUUUUUUGUUUCUGUAGGCCUGACGUUGUCUCUUUAAUAUUUCGUCUCUAUUUUGUGAAUACCGUUCCCUAUCCAGUCGCCUCUUCAGCUCCGUAGGGUCUACAUGUAUGAUUUAGAGUAUCAUAAGUUACGUGAAUAAUACAUAAGCAUGCAGUAUAUGGCCAUACUUACCAUGGGACAUGGCUAGGGGUGUGUGUGGCACAUUUUGCUCAUCAUUCGGCAGAGGUUUAUCAGUCUGCUUCUUUAAACGUGCCUCACGACGUCUUUUCAGAAUGUCCUCUCUGUUUCGUGCAUAGUAUUCUCUGUCCCUCUGCCUCUUAAUUUCUUUAGGGUCUGUUUAAAUAUACAAUGGAAAUUAGCACAUUCGUUAUAGAAGUGUUCAUGAACCCAGAAAAAAAGAAGCGCUCAGUUGGCUGAUAGUUACCUGAGGAAUGGAUGUUGCUUAUAUCCUGAAAUGGGGUGCGUGCCCCCGAGUGAUUUGGGGAAGUCAUAACAUCGACUUCGUAGACUGAAUACUCCAGUAAAAAAUCUGUCAAGAGGGUUGACUGGAAGCAUAUAUUAGUCAGAAUUAGAUUCAAGUUAUGUUGUCAUAAAUCUGUAGAUUUCAUUUUCUUAAAGCAAAAGGAAGUUAGAAGAUAAUUUGCAAGAACAAGAAGAAAUGUCUAAUAUUAAAAUCUUGCCUGAUAUUUUUAGAGGAUGGCACAGGUGAUGCAAGGAACCUACGACCUGUUUGCAGCGAAGAAGGUGAGGGGGAGCAGCCGCGCAUGUAAUGGCCAGUGGAGGGCGGCCAGGGAAGGCGGCGGCGGUGUUUUCGUGCGGCGAGGUCGCCGUCCAGGAAGGCGAAGGCGAUGAUGUUUCUGAGCGGCAAGGGGAUAUCCGUGGGGUGUGUUUCUUGUUUUUGGAUUUGAAAGGUCUAUUAUUAUUUGUGGUAAUGGGGGAUACGUGUUUGAAUUUGUUUGGAAGACCUACGUGAUUGUAGGGAUUGUUUUUGCUUUCGCAUGGAAGUUUUCCUCCGCGGUGGAGUAUGGUCAGUCAACAUAAAUUAGUAAGUGCACACCAGAAAACAUAUCAGGUGAAGGCUAGCCGUUGGAUUUAGAUAAGUGGGGAUAAUCCUGUGGUAGUAUUGGGUCCGUGUAUGUUUUGUGGGGUGCGUUUAGCAAAGAUAAUGUUUGCUCUUUUNNNN
Molecule: long non-coding RNA, 3331 nt
Filed under: Triticum aestivum (bread wheat)
Lineage: Eukaryota; Viridiplantae; Streptophyta; Magnoliopsida; Poales; Poaceae
Description: long non-coding RNA (TAES_LNC001875)
Source: RNAcentral